Molecule: ribosomal RNA, 303 nt
Filed under: uncultured Gammaproteobacteria bacterium
Lineage: Bacteria; Pseudomonadati; Pseudomonadota; Gammaproteobacteria
Description: partial 16S ribosomal RNA
Source: RNAcentral
UGGAAUUCUACCCCCCUCUACCGUACUCUAGCCUGCCAGUAUGAGAUGCAGUUCCAAGGUUGAGCCCUGGGCUUUCACAUCUCACUUAACAAACCGCCUACGCGCGCUUUACGCCCAGUAAUUCCGAUUAACGCUUGCACCCUCCGUACUACCGCGGCUGCUGGCACGGAGUUAGCCGGUGCUGCUUCUGUAGGUAACGUCAAUCCCAGCAGGUAUUAACUACUGGGCCUUCCUCCUUACUGAAAGUGCUUUACAACCCUAAGGCCUUCUUCACACACGCGGCAUGGCUGGAUCAGGGUUGCC